CGCGUAGGCGGCCGAUCAAGUCGGAGGUGAAAUCCCUCGGCUCAACUGAGGAAUUGCCUCCGAUACUGUUCGGCUUGAGUCCUGGAGAGGGUAGUGGAAUUCCCGGUGUAGCGGUGAAAUGCGUAGAGACUGGGAAGAACACCAGUGGCGAAGGCGGCUACCUGGACAGGUACUGACGCUGAAGCGCGAAAGCUAGGGGAGCAAACAGGAUUAGAUACCCUGGUAGUCCUAGCUGUAAACGAUGGGCACUUGGUGUUGCGGGUAUCGACCCCUGCAGUGCCGAAGCUAACGCAUUAAGUGCCCCGCCUGGGGAGUACGGUCGCAAGGCUGAA
This 332-nucleotide ribosomal RNA is filed under the name uncultured Pseudoalteromonas sp. RNAcentral describes it as "bacterial SSU rRNA". It matches the Rfam family "Bacterial small subunit ribosomal RNA", at positions 568 to 898 of the family's 1533-position model. The record is from RNAcentral. Lineage: Bacteria; Pseudomonadati; Pseudomonadota; Gammaproteobacteria; Alteromonadales; Pseudoalteromonadaceae.